RNAcentral lists this transfer RNA (83 nucleotides) under Bacteroidales bacterium. RNAcentral describes it as "tRNA-Tyr". It matches the Rfam family "tRNA". From Rfam's summary of the family: Transfer RNA (tRNA) molecules are approximately 80 nucleotides in length. Their secondary structure includes four short double-helical elements and three loops (D, anti-codon, and T loops). Lineage: Bacteria; Pseudomonadati; Bacteroidota; Bacteroidia; Bacteroidales. The record is from RNAcentral. RNAcentral also lists the same sequence under 2 other names.
GGGAGAAUACCAGAGUGGCCAAAUGGGGCAGACUGUAAAUCUGCUGGUUUUUACCUUCGGUGGUUCGAAUCCAUCUUCUCCCA